This 265-nucleotide non-coding RNA is filed under the name Astraeus sirindhorniae. The record is from RNAcentral. Lineage: Eukaryota; Fungi; Basidiomycota; Agaricomycetes; Boletales; Astraeaceae.
GCGGCUGUAAUGGCCCUAAACUCGGGAAUGCGAGGCGGUUGCUCUCAGCGGAAAACUGUCCAUUAGUGCGCUGGUUCAAGACUGUCCCCUCCAGAAAACUUGGUAGUCAAUUGUCCUUCGACACGCAAGUGUUGUCUGGACUUGGAAUAAUCGGUCCUUGACUGGUCAGGGAAGCAAUUCCGCAUCCAGCAGGACCUACCGAGUUAGUCGUAGGAGAUCGGGGCAUGUCGUCGGCCGCGCUGUGGAUCGCGCCUCUCGCAAACCU